Molecule: long non-coding RNA, 2957 nt
Organism: Bos taurus (domestic cattle)
Lineage: Eukaryota; Metazoa; Chordata; Mammalia; Artiodactyla; Bovidae
Source: Ensembl
CAGCAGGCUUGGGGGCGAGGGGCAGGUGAGUAAGGAAGGCAGGGAGUUUGCUCCACAUCUCUUGCUCUGAGGCUCAUCGGUAGAGAAUCCUCCUGCAGUGCAGAAGACGGAGGAGACAAGGGUUUGAUCCCUGGGUUGGGAAGAUGCCCUGGAGAAGGGCAUGGCAACCCACUCCAGUAUUCUUGCCUGGACAAUCCCAUGGACAGAGGAGCCUGGCAGGCUGCGGUCCAUGGGGGUUGCAAAGAGUCAGACGUGACUGAGCAGAGACACACACUCUGAAUCAGAGGGCCAGCCUACAGGCUAAGAGAGGCUUCUGGAGCAGACCAUGGAAGGAAACACCGACCAAGUUCGCGGAAAAGGCUGGUUCCUGUUUGCUCCCUGGUCCCUGGUCAAGGUGAGCCACUUCUCCAAAGUGGAGAGUUGGGAGUUUAACAUCAGUGCCCUCAUUAUUGUCCCUUAUCUUUUAAAAAUUACCAAAGCAUGCAUUCUUUCGACAGGAAGUUAUCAAGGUCUUCUUUGCUUAAGAACAGGUGAAGGGAGAGAUCUAUUUCGGCAGCUGUGACCAUCCUAAGAUAGGCCCUGAGCAGCAGUCGAAGAAAAUCCAGACAGGAAGCUGGGAUUAGCACCCUGGAGCUGCCCUUCCCCCACCCUCCACUUCUGUUCUGUUCUCCUUCCCAGCAGUCCUGGUGUCUAGAACCAGAAAGGCCAUUCGCACCUCCUCGUCAGUAAACCUUCUCCCUGUCUCUGGGAGAUGGGGUACUGUGGGCAGUGCGUUAGCUGUCCCCAGGGGUCUUCUGGCUUCAACAGCCGUGACCAAGCUGAGAUGGGGCACUGUGGUCCCAGGCCCACCCUCAUUCCAGGUAGAAAGAGGGAACCAAGCCUUGUGCCCAGGAGGUGCCUGUGUGUGCUCCUUCUGAGCACUCUAGGCACAGCGGCAUAUCCUUGCUGGUUCCAGCAUUGUUGGGAAGUGAAAAACGAGGGCACAGAGUAACCUAUGCAAAGCCUUCUAUGAGAAAGGAUCAUGAAAAAGAGAGGACUCAGUCGCUGAAGGAUGGAGUUUUGGAGGAAGUUGAGACCCUUAGAAUGGGGCCAAUGGAUGGGACAGGGCAGCCCAGGCUGGGGACACAGCCAGAGCAAAGGCAUAGAUGCAGGAACGGACAGGACCUAGAAAGAUCCAGUGGCUCAAACUGCCUGGCGGGGCGAGGGGAGCUGGAUGGAGGGACGUUCCAGGCAGACCCAGGUCAGACUCCAUGGCCAAGUUAUAGAAGUGAGGCUUUGCCAUAUGGGUAAUGGGAAAUUCUUGGUGGGUUUUCCAGGAGAGAAAUAAGUGGAUGACGUGUACAUAGCUAUGUUUUAGGAAGAUUUAUCUUGUUUGUCGUAUCUUUGUUUAUGUCAACCAGAAUUUGAAAGAAUAGAUGUCUGAUGGGAUGUGUCUUCCCAGUGGAAUACUUGUCCCACCACUGACAAUUUUGGUACAAAAUAUAUCUAACUGAUGUGGAACAAUGUCCAACAGUCAAGCAAGGCAAUCAGAAAGCAGCGUGAGAUCUUAUUUAAAAAAAAAUGAUAUGUAUAAAUGUGUGUGUGUGUGUGUGUGUGUGUGUGUGUGUGGAGAGAGAACAAAAGAGAAAGAAAGAAGAAGGGGGGGUGCCGGGGGGGGCAUUAUAGAGAAGCUGUCAGGGCGGCCCACCCCUGCCAGGCUCCCCACUUCUCCACCCCUUCACAGUGCCUCCUGGGAUCGCCCUCCAAAUGAACUACUUGCUCCCAAGUCCUUGUUUCAGGCUCUGCUUUGUGGGGAAUUCAAACACCAGUCUCACCCCUUUUCCAUGUCUUCUGCCCAGGCUGCUGCUAACUCUGGGGGAAAUCUAUUUUUGUAGCUCUCUGAUGAUUUUGUGUCCCAUGAUGAGAAAUACCAAAGUAGACCCUGAAGAACAUUCGUCUGGGAAUAUAAAGGUCCGUGGAUUAAACUGAGGCAAAGCUAGAGGCAGGGAGGCCAGGAAGGAAGCCUCCUUCCUUCCCUGUAAAGGAAGCCCAGGGCGGGCUGGAGGGGGCUGUGGAAAAGAGGCUGGAAGAGUGAUCAUUUUGAUACCUCACAUGUAAGAUUGUAUGUUAACCUUACGUGAGACUGCUUGUAUUUUGGAAGACAGGGCUGAGUCAAACCAUCUGGUUCUGGUAUCCAAUUAGAGUUCAUUGUCAAAGGAAACUGAAGCCCUUGCCCUUUGAAUAAUGGGAAAACCACACACUUAUCUGGCAGCGCUAUGAUGUGCAACAAUGGAGUUGACUUCCUGGCUCUUCACCCUGCCUACUAUGGUUUUGUCUGGAGUUGACUUCCUGGCUCUUCACCCUGCCUACUAUGAUUUUGUCUGGGGUGUUGAACAUUCCACACAGUUCCUUUCCUUUUCUUCUCAGUGGGGACUCUUAUUUACACCUUCAGUUUUGUGUUGUUUUGUUUUUAAAAUGUUCCAGGACAAUAUGUACCAAAAGUCUCUAUUCCUGGCAAUAAGCUAGACAUGGAAAAAAGAUUCCUACUCAAAUGUGUCCAUUGCAGUGUUAUUUUUAAGAGCUGAAAGUUGAACGUUACCCAAUAUCCAGUAAUAGGGAAGUGGUCAUGUAAAUGGAGGCAAUUCACUCCGGAAAAGUGUGCAGCCAUUAAAAACCUUGGGAUGGGAAAACGUGGCUCCCUCCUCUCUUCCUCAGAUGGAAAUGGAGAGACAAGGGUCCUUUUAAGAAUUCAAGCGGAGGGACUAUCCUGGUGAUCCAGUGGUUAAGGAUCCACUCGCCAAUGCAGGGGACAUGGGCUCAAUCCCUGUUCGGGGAACUAAGAUCUGACACAGCACUGAGCAACUGAGCCCGUGGGCCCUAACUACAGAGGCACACAGCCAAAUAAUUAAUUAAUAAUAAUUAAAAAAAGAAUUUAACUGGAAAUGUCCGUGUUUCUUUUCAGUACAGGUGAGGAGGUG